GCCCCGUUAGCACGGUAGGCAGUGCGUCAGUAUUGGGAUCUGAAGGUCGUGAGUUCAAUUCUCACACGGGGCG
Molecule: non-coding RNA, 73 nt
Organism: Cnephaeus nilssonii (northern bat)
Lineage: Eukaryota; Metazoa; Chordata; Mammalia; Chiroptera; Vespertilionidae
Source: the annotation of a GenBank genome assembly